CUCUGAUGGCAUUCUGAGCUGGCAGCCCAUGGGGACCUGGUGCAGAGCGCCGUCUGGAGCCGAGAUGGAGCCCUGGUGGGCACGGCGUGCAAGGACAAGCAGCUGCGGAUCUUUGACCCCAGAACAAAGCCGCGGGCCUCUCAGAGCACGCAGGCCCAUGAGAACAGCAGGGAUAGCCGGCUGGCAUGGAUGGGCACCUGGGAGCACCUUGUGUCUACUGGAUUCAACCAGAUGCGUGAGCGCGAAGUGAAGCUGUGGGACACGCGGUUCUUCUCCAGCGCCCUGGCCUCCCUCACCUUGGACACCUCGCUUGGGUGUCUCAUGCCUCUGCUGGACCCUGACUCUGGGCUCCUGGUCCUGGCAGGAAAGGGCGAGAGGCAGCUGUACUGUUACGAGGUGGUCCCGCAGCAGCCGGCGCUGAGCCCAGUGACCCAGUGUGUCCUGGAGAGCGUGCUGCGGGGGGCUGCCCUUGUGCCCCGGCAGGCGCUGGCCGUCAUGAGCUGCGAGGUGCUCCGCGUCCUACAGCUGAGCGACACAGCCAUCGUGCCCAUCGGCUACCAUGUGCCCCGCAAGGCUGUGGAGUUCCACGAGGACCUGUUCCCGGACACUGCCGGCUGUGUGCCUGCCACUGACCCCCAUAGCUGGUGGGCUGGGGACAACCAGCAGGUGCAGAAAGUCAGCCUCAACCCUGCCUGCCGGCCCCACCCGAGCUUCACUUCCUGUCUGGUGCCCCCUACGGAGCCCCUCCCUGACACAGCCCAGCCUGCGGUGAUGGAGACACCCGUGGGUGAUGCAGACGCAAGCGAGGGUUUCUCUUCCCCUCCCAGUUCGCUGACCUCGCCCUCCACGCCCUCCAGCCUGGGGCCCUCACUCUCCAGCACCAGUGGCAUCGGGACCAGCCCCAGUUUGAGGUCGCUGCAGAGCCUGCUGGGCCCCAGUUCCAAGUUCCGCCAUGCUCAGGGCACUGUCCUGCACCGAGACAGCCAUAUCACCAACCUCAAGGGGCUCAACCUCACCACACCUGGUGAGAGUGACGGCUUCUGUGCCAACAAGCUGCGUGUGGCUGUGCCGCUGCUCAGCAGUGGGGGACAGGUGGCUGUGCUUGAGCUACGGAAGCCUGGCCGCCUGCCCGACACGGCACUGCCCACGCUGCAGAAUGGGGCAGCUGUGACUGAUCUGGCCUGGGACCCCUUUGACCCCCAUCGCCUCGCUGUGGCUGGUGAGGACGCCAGGAUCCGACUGUGGCGGGUACCCGCAGAGGGCCUGGAAGAGGUGCUCACCACGCCAGAGACUGUGCUCACAGGUCAGGCAGGCUCAGGAAUGGGGCUGGGGUGGCCAGUGUCUCCCAAGGGCUCCUGAUCACCCCUGCCUUCCUCCAGGCCACACGGAGAAGAUCUGUUCCCUGCGCUUCCACCCACUGGCAGCCGAUGUGCUGGCCUCGUCCUCCUAUGACCUCACUGUUCGCAUCUGGGACCUUCAGGCUGGAGCUGAUCGGCUGAAGCUGCAGGGCCACCAAGACCAGAUCUUCAGCCUGGCCUGGAGUCCUGAUGGGCAGCAGCUGGCCACUGUCUGCAAGGAUGGGCGUGUGCGGGUCUACAGGCCCCGGAGUGGCCCUGAGCCCCUGCAGGUGAGCACACAGGGGCUGGGGAGUGGCCUCAGACCUGGUUCAGGGGUGCUGGCUGGGUGUCACGCGAUGUAUCUCAACAGGAAGGCCCAGGGCCCAAGGGAGGACGCGGAGCUCGCAUUGUCUGGGUAUGUGAUGGUCGCUGUCUGCUGGUGUCCGGCUUUGACAGCCAAAGUGAGCGCCAGCUGCUCCUAUAUGAAGCUGAGGCCCUGGCCGGCGGACCCUUGGCAGUGUUGGGCCUGGACGUGGCUCCCUCAACCCUGCUGCCCAGCUACGACCCAGACACUGGCCUGGUGCUCCUGACCGGCAAGGGCGACACCCGUGUAUUCCUGUACGAGCUGCUCCCCGAGUCCCCUUUCUUCCUGGAGUGCAACAGCUUCACGUCGCCCGACCCCCACAAGGGCCUCGUCCUCCUGCCUAAGACGGAGUGCGACGUGCGGGAAGUGGAGCUGAUGCGGUGCCUGCGGCUGCGCCAGUCCUCCCUGGAGCCUGUGGCCUUCCGGCUGCCCCGAGUCCGGGUGAGGGUGGGGACCUGGGACUCCCAUGCCCACCGCCUUCUCGGUGCCUAGAGGGGAGUUUGGGUCCCGUCUGACCCAGCUUCCAAACUUCCCUACCCAUUGUUCAUGGGGACACCUACCCCCUUCUGCUGAGAUGCUGAAACUCAUGGAAGCCCCAGGCUGGUGGGAGGGUCCCAGGUCUUGCCCUGUCCCUCCCCAACAGAUGCCCGUGUGCCCUGGGCACCUGGUCAAUGUCUCAGGACAGCCCGUUUCUCCCUCUGCAGAAAGAGUUCUUCCAGGAUGACGUGUUCCCAGACACGGCUGUGAGCUGGGAGCCUGUGCUCAGUGCCGAGGCCUGGCUGCAAGGCGCUAAUGGGCAGCCCUGGCUUCUCAGCCUGCAGCCUCCUAACAUGAGCCCAGGUGCACCGAGGGACUGGGUGUGGGGAGGAAGCGGGAUGGGGGUUGGAGAAAAGGACAGAAGGCCCAGGUUGAAGUUCCAUUCCUGUUGGCACGCAGAAUCCUCUGGCCUUUGGGAGGGGGGAGUGGCUGUGUCAAUCAGUCUCUGAGCCAGUGGAGGGCAGGGCCCGUGGUCUGUGUUUUCAUCACAGGUCCCCACCCCUAACACACACACACACACACACACACACUCUGGUGUCUAGGGCAGGGCUUGUACAGUGAGGCUCCAUUGACUGUUAAUACCACCUCUUAGAUCUGCGCCAUAGAAAUCCCCUAGGUCGGCCAGGCGCGGUGGCUCACGCCUGUAAUCCCAGCACUUUAGGAGGCUGAGGCGAGUGGAUCACCUGAGGUCGGGGGUUUGAGACCAGCCUGGCCAACAUGGUGAAACCCCAUCUCUACUAAAAAUACAAAAUUAGCCUGGCAUGGUGGUGGGCGCCUGCAAUCCCAACUACUCCAGAGGCUGAAGCAGGAGAAUCGCUUGAACCCAGAGGAGGUGGAGGUUGCAGUCAGCCUAGGUCACAUCAUUGCACUCCAGCCUGGGCAACAAGAGCAAAACUCCAUCUC
This 3141-nucleotide small RNA is filed under the name Pan troglodytes (chimpanzee). RNAcentral's name for it is "retained intron". The record is from RNAcentral. Lineage: Eukaryota; Metazoa; Chordata; Mammalia; Primates; Hominidae.